AGAUAUGAGUGUUAAAUGGCUGUGACAUCUGUCCUACCAUUAAUGGUCAAGGUUGAUUCGGCCAAUCAGGUGGGCGAAGCUGGUGUCCCCAUUCUCCCCCUCUGCUCUGUGAGCACCCCUCUCACAGCUGCAUGCUCAUUGAAAGAGGAUAGCUUUCUUCAAAUAGAGAUGGACCUUCUUUGUUCAAGAGGUUAUUAGUAGCUGUGCUUCCCUGCUAGAACCUUCAAACAAGUUCUCAAAGGAGCUAAAAUUCGAUGGGCCGAGGAGAUGACCUUACAGUGUACAUGGUUUGUGU
Molecule: small nuclear RNA, 295 nt
Filed under: Sorex araneus (European shrew)
Lineage: Eukaryota; Metazoa; Chordata; Mammalia; Eulipotyphla; Soricidae
Description: 7SK RNA (ENSSARG00000018036.1)
Rfam family: 7SK RNA
About the family: 7SK was discovered as an abundant small nuclear RNA in the mid-70s but a possible function has only recently been suggested.
Source: RNAcentral